CCUUAGCGCUACUUAAAAUACUGUAAUUCUCGGGGUACGAGCCAUAGGUUGGACCACUGUCAAUGACCCUCCAGAAUAUCUGAAAAAAACUCGAAACAUAGGGCAAACACUCGAACCUCGCAAUUUGUAAAGAUUCAGUGUGUUACAUAUAUAAAGUUGAAAACGUGGUAGUUAUAAUUAUAUGCAUCUUGUAUGGUUGAAUAUAAUAAAAAUAGAUUAAUUUUAUACAUGUUCCUGCAAACAUAGUGAACGACAAAUAUAUUUCUAUAAAGUUCAACUUUCAUAUGUUGUCCCUGUAAAAGUCCUAAUAUUUUCAAAUAUGUCCCUCUGGUUUGUUACUAUUAGAAAAUCGUUAGAGAACCAUUUAUAUUUUCAAUUUUGCCAUUACAAAUAUAUCCCUCCAAAAGCCAUACUAGUAUAAUAUAAGGUGUAAAAAUGUUAAAAACUAACUAUGAUUAAAUAUUUAACCUAUGGUUAACUAACUUUUUCUAACGGAUUAUAACGGUAGGGACAUAUUUGAAAAUAUCAGGACUUUUGUAGGGACAACAAAUGAAAGUUGAACUUUGUAGGGAUAUAUUUGCUAUUCACUAUGUUUGCAGGGACAUGUAUGAAAUUAACCCUAAUAAAAAAAUACUGUACUUAUAAAUAAUUUGUUUGACUGUGUACAAUUGAGAACUUGUAUAUACAAUUUUUUCA
This 696-nucleotide long non-coding RNA is filed under the name Ananas comosus (pineapple). RNAcentral describes it as "long non-coding RNA (ACOM_LNC001897)". Lineage: Eukaryota; Viridiplantae; Streptophyta; Magnoliopsida; Poales; Bromeliaceae. The record is from RNAcentral.